GACGAACGCUGGCGGCGUGCUUAACACAUGCGAGUCGAACGGAAAGGCCCUGCUUUUGUGGGGUGUUCGAGUGGCGAACGGGUGAGUAACACGUGAGUAACCUGCCCUUGACUUUGGGAUAACUUCAGGAAACUGGGGCUAAUACCGGAUAGGAGCUCCUGCUGCAUGGUGGGGGUUGGAAAGUUUCGGCGGUUGGGGAUGGACUCGCGGCUUAUCAGCUUGUUGGUGGGGUAGUGGCUUACCAAGGCUUUGACGGGUAGCCGGCCUGAGAGGGUGACCGGCCACAUUGGGACUGAGAUACGGCCCAGACUCCUACGGGAGGCAGCAGUGGGGAAUAUUGCACAAUGGGCGGAAGCCUGAUGCAGCAACGCCGCGUGCGGGAUGACGGCCUUCGGGUUGUAAACCGCUUUCGCCUGUGACGAAGCGUGAGUGACGGUAAUGGGUAAAGAAGCACCGGCUAACUACGUG
RNAcentral lists this ribosomal RNA (468 nucleotides) under uncultured bacterium. RNAcentral's name for it is "partial 16S ribosomal RNA". It matches the Rfam family "Bacterial small subunit ribosomal RNA", at positions 28 to 507 of the family's 1533-position model. The record is from RNAcentral.